Molecule: long non-coding RNA, 710 nt
Organism: Uranotaenia lowii
Lineage: Eukaryota; Metazoa; Arthropoda; Insecta; Diptera; Culicidae
Exons: 3
Source: RefSeq, a predicted model, not a curated record
GAGACGAUUUGGGCAGGGUUCCGUGCAAUUUUGAACGUCUCACCCGGUUCAGUUUGAUUUCUGUAAUCUGUUAAAACGGUUUUUGAGCGAUCCGCGUAAGUUCGGUUAAUCGGUUUUGUGUAAGCGUAACCAAUUUUGUUCAAUUUCGGGUGCGAAGUUCGUUUGUCCAGGAUUGGGACUAGGGUUGCUUUUGUUAGAGUGUUAUUGUUUUUGUUAUUCGAUUGAUUACGAAUUCCCAGCUGUCGUGUGACUUAUUCAGACAAAGUGACUCCCGAUCGAUUCCUCGCUAAGCCGAAUUUCUAAGAACGGGGGCAGAGAAGGCAGUUAUCGUUGGUGCGAACCAGAUUGUAUGUACUGUCAUACCAGGUGAAGUUCGUUGUAAUUUAGUUCCAUUUGAGUGAAAAUAAGUGUGUCACUGGGUAGAUCCCUAUUGCAAUUUAAAUAUUUAAGAGCUAAACGUCUCAUCAUUAUUGAAUACGGAGAAAACGAAAAAAGUGUGAAGGAAGUCGAGGCAGUUGCUUGCAACCGUAAAGAUUUAAAGCCCCAUUAAGUGGUGUAGCGAUCGGAAGCGAAGAAAGUGCAAGUGCAACACCGGAAGGAGCCGAUUAAAAGAAGCAGACUGCAGGAUGACUUCCGCCCAAGACAGGAGAGCAUCCUUCGCUCGGAGGGCUGAGAGUUUGGUCGAGAGGGUGAGAAUACUGAACAAAAUA